AAAGAUAUAAGCAGAGUUAUCCAAAGUGUUGCCCUGCCCUGAUUGAACGAACUUGAUUUUUUUAUAAGAAACUCAAACUUGAUGCAUUAUAAAAUUGGCCAUUAACCAACAAAAAGUACAAACAUCUUUUUUCCCAGCAAAUUGCAAGCAGGAGCCAACAACCCAAAAAUCAAUGUGCAUAGCCGCACAUACGAAAUUUAAAUAUGGAAUUCUAUCUAAGAAUGUAGAAUGUGUAACAUUCAACUAAAAAUAAGGAUGAGAGUAAGAGCCAAUUUACCAAACAUACCUCCUCAACCACUAAAACAAAUGCAGGACAUGAAAGAAACAUACCCCUAAAGUUAGCUCAACACUAAAACAACCUUGUAAUUUUGGAACCUUGAUCAUUUUUCAGAUAUAACUUUCCCUACCUUUCUGCUCUACAACUGCAAGCUUAGUACUGUUUCUUACUUGGGUUCCAGUUGCAGGGAAGCACUGCAAAAUAACCAUAGUUCAGAUUAAGUCCAUCAAAAAAUGAAUUGCAUAAGAUCAAAGACACCAACUCAAUAUGAUGAAGAACAUGAAGCACAUAAAAAUAAAUUAAUCUGUCAUGUCAUAGCGGUAAAUAAAAUUUCUAUGCAUUUCUACUUCAUAACAUCUUCAACUAUUUUAUGUUUACAUGAAUGAUAUUAUGAUAGGAAGCACUAGUUUGUUGCAUGUUCAAUGAAACCCCGAUUCAACCAACAGUCUUAAUGAUUGUGCCAAUUUAAUUAGGCAUGUGAAGCAUAUCAAUGGAUCCAUAUAACAAGGAAAGGGAUGGUUCAUAUCCAAUACCAAAUGCAUUUUUCUAGUUAAGGAAAAUUGAAACAGGUGGGAGAAGUGAAUACCUGCUCAAUAUAACAGCUGUUGCAGUAAAGGCAAAUUUACAUUAAGGAAAAUUCUAAUGAACAAAAAUAUUAGCCUAAAGAAAAUAUUUGAAAAAACAAAAGAUGAAGCUAAUCAUAAUCAGCACAUCUUCACCAUAACACAAGAAAAAAUGCUAACGAAACUAAAUUUGAAAUGUAAAUAUUCGAUGAGGAAAUAUCUGAAAAAACCAACAUGCAAAUCUCACCGUAUAAUCUUCAACAUUACAAAAAGGAUUUGAAGACAAAACAUAUGAUCACAUAAAAAAUGAAAUCAAAACUUAACUGGCUAGGCUUAUGGAAAUAUAACUCUCCUCCUAUCAUGUAUGUAAGUCUCCUCAAAUUUCAAGGAAAAUAAAAAUAAUAAAUAAUUAAAAAAUGCAAAAUCUCUUCCUACAGAAAGAAAACAAUGGAAUAAGUAUUAAAUUUUAAUUUUUUACUUUAUUUUUUAAAUAAAAAAGAACCACAACUAAUUAAGCUUCCUUUAGUGAGCCACUCUAUUGCUUAUGCUAAAUUGGAUAGGGAUUCUAGACCCAUCCAUGGUUUCAUCUCUCCUUUGAACAUGAAUGUAUGUGCAUGUCACGGUUCCACACAUCAGACAAAUCUAAUUCUAAAAAAUAAAUCAAACAAAAAAAAUUACAGCAAAAAAAAAAAAGGUAAAUAAAAAAGGUAAAUAACACUAAGUGAAAGUUUGAAUAACAUCUCUACCUCCUUUGUUAGGAACCCAAAUUUUCUAUGGCAUCUUUUUACUCUUCAUGCAUUCAUACAACAAAGUGGCAAAUUUUUUCUAUUUUUCUAAACACGUUUACUGGAAAAAAAGCUUUUCAUGCAUUCAUAUAUACAUAUACAUACAUACAUAUAUAUAUAUAUAUAUAUAUAUAUAUAACAUCCAAGUAUCAUCCUUAAGCAUAACUUACCUGGUUAAUCUCUUCAGUUAAAAUAAAAAAAGACAAAGCAAGUCCUCAUCUUUGCAGAAAUAUUCUACUAUUUUCUUUUAUUCUCCCCUUUUUCUCCCUCCAUCUCUUUCUCUUUUCCAACAAUACCACAUGAAUUGUAACCAGCUGCCAAUCCAAUCACUAAAACACCAAUUCAGACACUGCAGCCAUUCUUAAAAAUUUUAGGAAAGAAUUAAUUAAUUGACAAGAAAAGCCUCAAAUUGGUUGAUUGUGGACAAAUCAUGAUGAAAAGAAAAAAAAAUGGAAGAAAGGUUGAAUGGGAAAGAGAACAAAGAGAAAAGAAAGAAAGAACUGGAAAGAAAUAGAGAGGCGGGGUGAAAAUCUGUAUUAAUUUGGGAAAAAAAAAAAGAAUAGGUUUGAAAAUUCUAGUGAUUUGGGGAAAGAGAUGAUAUACAAGGAUUUUUUUUUUUUUUUCAGACUUCCUUUCUUAUAACCUUUUAAUUCUUCUUUUAUAUCCUUGUUUUCUCCGCUCAUGUCUCUUCUUUUUUCUCUUUCUAAUUCAUCCAAUUAAGAGACACAAACCCUCAAAUCCUAAGCGUAAGCCCACCAAACUCAAACAAAAGACAGCUGUAAACAUUAGAAACCCUUAGGGAUU
RNAcentral lists this long non-coding RNA (2429 nucleotides) under Durio zibethinus. RNAcentral's name for it is "long non-coding RNA (DZIB_LNC001100)". The record is from RNAcentral. Lineage: Eukaryota; Viridiplantae; Streptophyta; Magnoliopsida; Malvales; Malvaceae.